UAUUAUUAAUAACAAUUCAUCGGUAAUUCUAUUCCGUUUUAUCAUUUUCUCAUUUCCCCCAUUUCUUUUAAACUUCCUCUUAGGGUUUUUAUGUCUUUGCUUUCUUUGCUUUUACUCCCUUUUUCAGCUUAUUAUUUUGUUUUUAUUUGCUUUUACUUCCUCUUACAACAUGCAUACGCUAAUUAAUACUAGUAUAAUUUAUACAGAAUCUGAAUCUCGAUUCAAAAAAUUGACAGCACUUCUAUUUGACCUUGAUUACGACUCUCUCUCUGUGAACAACUUUGUGAUAUUUUUGGAUUUGUUGUUAACUUUGCUCUUUAUGUCAAUUUACCAGCAUUAGUUAUUAGGGUGCUUAUAGUUAUAGAAUAUAGCAUCACUUCUUGUUAUUGCAUUCAUAUGGAAAGCCAUACACCAUAUAUCUGCUAAAGUAAGUGCUUUCUGUGUUUUGCUUUUAUAAAUCCAUAUUAAUUCUUUGUUUUCUUUACUUAUAUUCUGUUCUGCCAAGCCUCAUCGGGCCUGUGACACUUAGCCCAUGGUCGAAAGGAGAGAUCCUUCCCUAACUCUUGAUCUAGGAUUAAGGCGUUGACAGAUAUUCAGUGGUAAUAUACCCCAAUGCCAUGGUCACCGGAAAAUAUGGUGUAUGUGUGUAAGGAGAGUAGGGUAGAGAGUAAGGGAAUAGAACCUGCCUCCACCUAGCCUGAAACUUGUCUCAUGUAGGCUCGUCCUAGACAUGGAAAGUGUGACCACACCACACAUGUGAGGUUUGAUUUGGUUAUGUUGUGAGCCCCUCGAAUAUCAUACCGUUAGCGGGAUUCCCGGGCAUAUUAAUGGUUCUCAGAAACACUAGCUCUCUCCUACUCCAGGUCUUGGAAGUUUGUGGAGUUCAUCCACGCCAAUGUGGAUCUGAGCUGUUGGGCUUCUCUCGGUUACUUAGGCCAUACUCUGGCCAGUAUACUGACUCACUUGAUAUUUCAGCAUUGGAGUCCUCCUGGUUGCCUUUCUUUCUUUUAGGCCUUUCCUGGUUUGCAUUCUUACUGAUCUUAACCCUUUGUUGGGAUGUCUUAAGCUCAUUACACAGUAGUUCCAUGGUUAAGCAAUGUAUAGCGCCGAGACUUCAGCUCUUGCAGCAGUUCUUUUAAGCUAGGCUCCAUGUGCCUUUGCCAGGCUGCACCCUUAAUGAGACAUCAUAAUCCCAUUAUGGGAACGUAUUUAUAAUUGUCUAGCAUUUUAUUAGUUCUUAUUUUUUAAAUGUGAAAUGUUUUUAAUUCUUUGAAUUCUUUAUUUAUAAUUAUUAUAUCUUAUACUGUAGCAUGAUAAUACUCUAUUUUUGUGGAAAGUAGUUUCACAUUUGAUUUAGUUAAAAGUCUAUUUCUCGAUUUGUCUGAUUUCCUCCAUGGAACAGGGAGAUGCAAAUAUGGCACGUUCACCUUCUGAGAAUGGUUUUAUCAGUUCCUUUUCUCUCUUCCCUGAGAAAGCAGUGCA
This 1482-nucleotide long non-coding RNA is filed under the name Lupinus mutabilis. Its description in RNAcentral is "partial ncRNA". The record is from RNAcentral. Lineage: Eukaryota; Viridiplantae; Streptophyta; Magnoliopsida; Fabales; Fabaceae.